RNAcentral lists this small nuclear RNA (23 nucleotides) under Arabidopsis thaliana (thale cress). RNAcentral's name for it is "snRNA_08270". The record is from RNAcentral. Lineage: Eukaryota; Viridiplantae; Streptophyta; Magnoliopsida; Brassicales; Brassicaceae.
UCCCACAUACAGAAAUCAGUAAU